UAUGUCUGUGAGAUAAGGCAUUACAGAAGCGAAAUUGACAUUGGAAGAUGAAAAUUGCAGUUUUUUUCUGUGCUCUGUGUUAUUUAGUGCUGGUCUCAAGUGAAUCGUGUUCAAGUGGAACUAGUAAGGACUGCCUACAUACAAAAUGUCCUGAGUUAAACUAUAAAUUAUCGUGCAUUGAUAAUUUUUGCACGUGUGCUGAGAUUGGACCUGCUGUUUGCAAAAAUAGAGAUACAUGUUUACAACAUAGUCCAUGGAACUGUCCACAGAAUCGCCGCCAUUGUUAUGAUAAUGUGUGUGUCUGUGCACCUACCAUAUAAAGCAGGAUACCAAUAAAAGGCUUACCAUUG
This is a long non-coding RNA of Mytilus trossulus (common blue mussel), 350 nucleotides long. RefSeq lists it as uncharacterized. The record is from RefSeq and is a predicted model, not a curated record. NCBI's taxonomy places the organism in Eukaryota, Metazoa, Mollusca, Bivalvia, Mytilida, Mytilidae. The transcript is spliced from 3 exons.